AAAAAAAAACAAAAAAACAAACAAACAGCAAGACAACAAGAUGUAUGUGGAUCCAGGCUUAUUAGACCGCCAUUAAGAUUUCUCCCAUACAAGACUUCUACACAGAACCAGCCAAACAAACAUUUUAAUGGAGAUUUUGCACAACAGGAUUUUGGAACUAGGUGUCCGCGCUGCUGGGGAGGAUGUUGGCUUCAAGAAUUGUUGAGACCAGAUUAAGCAUUGAAGACCGCACUUGCUUAUAUCCAUCCAAUAUUGCUGCUGCCAGACAACAGGACCAAUCCAAAUUCAGGUACAACAACAACCCAUGGAUUCUACAUGGCAACAGCCCAGUAACCAGACCUGGACAAAAUCACCAGGAGAAAGGUGAAGACCAAAGCACCCAAAUGAAGUAGUUCAAAGUUUUGAUGACAGCGUCCAUUUAGCUACUGAUUCCUGUCAUCUGUGAUGUCGGCUACUGCAAUCUUCAGCUCACAGACACUUUGCAGAUAUAAAUCAAACUGAAAUUG
Molecule: long non-coding RNA, 506 nt
Organism: Hyla sarda
Lineage: Eukaryota; Metazoa; Chordata; Amphibia; Anura; Hylidae
Exons: 4
Source: RefSeq, a predicted model, not a curated record